AUUAACGAGGCAUCUUGUUAAAAUGCAGAUUCUGAUUUCAUUGGCCUGGGAUUCUGCAUUUCUAACAAGUUCCCAGAUGAUGCUGG
Molecule: microRNA precursor, 86 nt
Filed under: Ailuropoda melanoleuca (giant panda)
Lineage: Eukaryota; Metazoa; Chordata; Mammalia; Carnivora; Ursidae
Description: mir-544 microRNA precursor family
Rfam family: mir-544 microRNA precursor family
Source: Rfam by way of RNAcentral